RNAcentral lists this long non-coding RNA (17773 nucleotides) under Musa acuminata (dwarf banana). RNAcentral's name for it is "long non-coding RNA (MACU_LNC001504)". The record is from RNAcentral. Lineage: Eukaryota; Viridiplantae; Streptophyta; Magnoliopsida; Zingiberales; Musaceae.
UUUCCUGACACAUCUUUUUCUUUUUGGAUCCCCAAAAAAAAUUUACACAUGCAAGAAAUUAAUACAAGUGAUUCUCAAGCCUUUGCUAAGCUUCUUGGAAAGAUAUGCAACUUCUUAAGACUUGUUUAAGCCUCAAAAUAAUUUUUUGAUAGGACAAAGACACAUGUUUUAGUUCUUCUUCUAUUUGCUUGCUAUAAACAACUUCCAACAAUAGGUUUUUCUGUAUCGGAUGGAAACAUGUAUUUAUUCGUUGCGUUGUCUUAUUCAUGUUUAUCGCUGCCUUUAGAUCUUCUGCUUCUUCUUUUCUCAAGAAUCUGAGGAUUUUGUCUAUCUUUGAUUCAGGCAGAAAGAGGUUAUGAAACAUGUAGCUAUUAUGAAUCCAAGUUGAAGCAAAUCCUACAGUUCGCCUUCAUUGAUAUCAUCAUCAGCUUAAUGGCAGUGUUUGCAGUUUUCAUAGCACAGCGAGAUCUGAAAGGCCAUGCAAACGAAUUGCACCUUCUCAUCUGCGGCUACCUCACCACCUGCAGUCUUCUCUGUGGGGUAACCCUAAUGUUCUUCACCAUCAAUUUGCUAAGUCGCAAGAAUCAGAGUGUCCAAAGAGGCCAGCAUACGACCACCGUUUUCCUACUCGUCAUUUCAUGCGCUCUCCUCAUCCUUACAGCAGCUGGUUUCUCAACUCUCCUCCAUAAACGCUCUAUGUUUCUGGCAGCCCUGCUUCCGGGAUGUUUGCUUCUCGGCACCCUCCUCUACUUCAUAUUCCACGCAGGCGAUGAUCAUGAUCAGAAUUCCACAGGAUAUGGAAGCUAUAAAUCAGAGCUGAAACAUUCGUUGGGUCUCUCAUCCACUGUUGUCUCCCUUGCAUUCAGUGGGCUGAUAACUACUCUUAUUGGGACCGCUAAAAGUAAUUCGGAUCAAGCCCUUACCAUAAACACGAAAAUCUGCAUCUUUCAGAUGUUCUUCGCCGCCAUGUUCGGCCUUCUGUUGAUGCUGCUCAGCUCAGUCCCACCGAGCUUCAAGCAGCAAAGCACCAGGGAGUUCCUUACCAAGCUCCUCAAAGCACUCAGCUACUCUCUGCUGGGCUCAUUGGCACUCAUAGCCGCUACGGCGGCUUCUGCUUUCCUUGACGUCUUCCUUGUACUGGUUCUCCUGCCGACACCAUUUCUUGGAGUCACUCUUUGGUUCUGCAUAGAGUGGCACAGCACCCAGAAACAGCCGCACGGACCGCGCACUACUACCAACGUUGGUCAUGAUCUCAAGCUCAAACUCAUUUCCAAGGUCGGUACUACCACGACAUCCAUCAGCUUCGGAGGUCUUACGGGCGCCUUCUCAGGAUUUAUCGGCAGAAAAGGCAGUGAAUUGCAGCUCAAGAUCUGCGUGCUGGUGAUGUUCUUCGCAUUUCUGUCCAGUUUCAGCGUGAAGCUGCUCACUUUCAGUACUCCAAAGCCAGGAACUCUGAUGACAGUUAUCAAAUCCUUAAGCACUUGCUCUGUCUUGCUGCUCCUAUUCUCUGCCAUUAUCGUCUUCUUCCUCGAGUUCCUGGGUGGCUGAGCACAACGAAAAUUACUACUUACUUGCUGCUCGGGGAAAUGCUCAUGUCACGUUGAAGUCAGUGGGAUUCGGUCAUAUCCUGAGAGAUCAGAUGGAAUGUGAACAUUGCAUUUGAUUACAGUGUAAGUUUCUUUUUUACUUUUAGAAAAAAAGCUAGAGAAUUUGAUUACAGCAUUAGUUGUUGUCAUCACAAAAACACCCCAGCAUGGCCCAUAUGGUUUUAGGGCUUGUCCAUAAAUAGCAUAAGAUUGAUGCAUUGAUUGCUCACUGUGUGCCCACAUGACUUCCAGAGACUUGUAGGGUUCAUAGAGAUGUGGUCCAUAUGUUUGAACUUUGGUUUGGCCAGCUCUAUAAAAAUUCGAUUUUCAUAAAAAAAAAAAAUUAUAAUCACAUAUGAAAAUGAUAAAUUAAAUUUAUUUUUGCGACAUCAUUUAGACUUCUUAUGUUUCUUUUAUCAUGUGAUCAGAGCAAAAUAAUCAAUUUUAAAAAUAGUUUCAAAUUAAGGAGCUUACAAAUAAAAAUAAAAAUUGAUACAUUCUAAUUCUAAUUCUAAUUUAAAAUGAUAAAUUCUAUUAUCUCUCUUUUUCCAUAUUCAUCCUUUAGUUCUUUUAUUUUUUUAUAUUAUUAUUAUAUUAUCGAUCAAUGUCUGUAGCCUCCUUUACAUCCUAAGCAUUAUCUUUUAUUUGGAGAUGGAUUUCUAAUAGUGUGUGCUCAUGUUCUUCCUCUACCAACCUUUCAUAAUGUCUAUUUUGUGUAUCACAUCAAUAUCUUUAGGCUUUUCAUACUCUUCUCUUGCCACCUCUGUCCUCUCGUGGAAAAUCCAAAACUACAUGGAUUUUCCAUCUUUCUACAAUAUUUACAAACAGAUCGGUUCCAUAGAAUGUGUUCCUGAUGAAUAUAUGUAUCGAUAAAGCAUGAGAUUGCAAGAAUCUAAUGGAAAAUAUGUUAGGUUUCCGAUUGCAAGGUGCCUAUUACGGUGGUAUGUUUCAGAAAAAUGGUUACUUCCUAGCAAAACCUGUGGAUGACAGUGCUAUCGAGAUGGAAAGGCAGAAGUGAAAGCAUAAGAUGCUAACCUCGAAGUCCGGAAGAAGUCUAUCGUUACAUAUAUCCAAGAUCGGAGCAGUUCAUGUGGAAGAUGGACGACAGUUCCCUCAGUAUAUCUGCAGAGAAGCAAGAUGAUCAGCUGCUGUCCCUAUGACUAUCCUGCGAGCUGUACUAGUGAAAUUAUUUGCAUAGAAGAUCUGAUUAGGGGAAAUGAAACUCGAGCGAGGGAGUCUGACCUGAAAGAUGAUGAUGAUGAUACAGUGAUGGUGCGAGCAGUUCUUACCAGAUCUAAGAUGAGUUUUGAGUACUGCCUGCAACCACGGCUAAAUCCAACAAGCAAUACAAAUGAUUUUGAAGGACAGAAGAUGCUCGUCUCAACUUGAUGUAAUGUAUUCUUUCCCUUCUCCAAGCUGUUUAGGUGCAUCUGCAUUUGGCUGGACUAAGAAUUUUCUAUUACCCGUAGUUCAUAAUUAAAGACUGUCAACUAUGUUAUAUAUCAGUUAGUUUAGCUCUUUCUGUCAGUAGCUCACGGACUCGGAAAAAUGAUCCCUACUCCUGUCACUGUUCUCCAUCACAGCUAAGUAGGAAGAAGUGACAACAUAGCAAAAGAGAUGAUCCAAAAUUCAUAAAAGCAUUUCAAAUUAUUAGAAACCCAACUAUGUCUUUAAACAUAUAUUGCUUUUGAGAAACAAUCUUGAUAGUAACAGAGAAAAAUAUGACAAGCUUCAAUCUUCUAUAUUUCUCUCAAGAAAAUUUUUAUAAUUUCAAAAACUCUAUAUCUUUAAUGACCUAACAUAUUGUCACGGACAAACUUCUAAAUAUGAUGUUUGAUAUAAUGCUAUGUAUGUCCGUGUCUUUUGGUAUGUUCAUACUUUGCACCGCAUGUAGAGGGAUGGUCAAAUGCUUAAUAGUCUCAUUUUAAUUGGGUUUGGUGGCUGCUUUAGGCUUAUAAAUAAAUGUUAUGUCAUGUGGACACUUGUGAGAGAUUUUCGAUCUGUAGUGGACCAUUUUGAUCAUUUGUUGUGUAACUGUUCAGAGCUUGUAAAGUCUGUUUGUAAUUUGAAUUAUCUAUGAAGUGUUUAUUGAAAUGUUUGCUUGUGGAUCCCAAGUGAGACGCUUUCUCUAACUCGUUUUCUCUUUUGUAGGUCCUAAGGGACCAUGGGAGGUUUCGGGGAGACUGAUCUUUGCGGACGAACACGCAAGGGUGCCGCACGACUUAGGCAAAAUUAACUAAGUCUGUGAUAAUACGGGGUUUAUAUAGUCCACAAAUAUACAUUACAUUAAUCGUAUUCAAGAUGAAUCAUUCUCUUUCAACAAACCCUUUCAAGAACCAAUAAACAAUUUGACUUAUCCUUUCCUAGACUUUUAAUAUAUUUUUUCUUAACGAAUCUCAAACUUUUCUUUUAAUGAAAUGAAUAUCUUUAUGACACUUGAACAAAUUUAAUUCCAACAGAAAAACCUAAUCAACUGCAUUCUUUCUUUGAAAAUUUCUUCUCCACUUGAUAUGAGAUGAUAACUAGCUAUCUCAUUAAUCAACGAUCGUCCAAAGUUGAUGGAUAUCAUGACCUUCGUCGGAACAAUUUUAAUCAUAAAAUAUUUACUCCAGUUACUAGUAUUUUUUGAACAAUCUUCUUUAUAUCUUCCGAAACGACUUCUUUAUAUCUCGCUCAAGUUUCAGGUCAGACUCUCUCGCUCAAGUCAUUACUAGUAGUUUUUGAACAAUCUUCUCCUAUAUUUUUUUUGAUAUCUUCCAGGAACGACUUCUUUCCAUUUGAUAUCGACAAGUGUUUCAGAUCGGACAGUUGAAUCAUCUCUAACAUCUCAAGACUCCAUUUGCGGCACCGAUGACUCUGCUCUUCCUGGAUUUCAUCGUCGUCGGUAUGCCCCAACUCCAACUUCACUACGCUAUCGCCGUGCGAGAUUUCCAGCCCGCCACAAGGAGCUGUCGUGAUCAGCAGGCCACAAGUAGCAACUUCGGAAGCACUUCUUCUUCCCGUCCGUCGCUAAUCUAUCAUAAUGAAUUCUAUAGUGAGAAAAGUAUGACGGAUCCAUUGUCGAGGAAGACUGAAGCCACUCAAUCGGGGCGCGGUGCGGUGCGGUGCGGUGGAUUGGAUCUGCGGGAGCGCACUGCGGGCCAUGUGCUCGACGCCUCGAUCGGGGCGCGCAUUGCCAUGCCUUCUCCUCCUCCUCCUCCCUCCUGCCUGUCCUCGUUGGCAGGCGGAUCCCAAAUAUGCCGGUAUAUAAAUUUAAUUUCCACUGUUUGUGUUCUUCGGCUUGUCUUGUUUGGACUCGCUGCGUCGAUCGCGUCGCCCGCACCGCGAGAGAGAUAGAGAGACGGUGGUUGUCAUCGGACGGUCCGUGUUGUGUCUCAAAGCCAUUUUGUUCCCCCUCUCAUCUUAAACCUUUUGGAUUAAAUUAAACCGCUAGGAAUUUAACUAUCGUUGGGUUCGGUGUGGCGAUGGUUAGCAUGAGCUAGAGAUAUAAGAAUAUAACGACCUAAACCAUUGAUCAAGUUAUUUAAGUUUCAAUUUGUAAUGAUAUAUUCAUCAAAUUUUAAUAAAUUAAUAUAUAAAGACGUUACAUUUAUAAACCUGAAUCAUUUAUAUAAAAUAUUUAAAUCUAAAAGCAGUAGGUAGAACUGGAGGAAGAAGACAAUGGCGGCGAAUUGGAGAAACAAGACGAAUGCUUAAGAUUUUGAUAACUCUCAUCAUAGUUCCUGCCUUUGGAGUCAUGAAAGUAAGCAGCUUCAAAGCUAAAAGUCUAUUAAUCAGUAUCUCUCUCUCAUCUUUCUAUUUUAGUUCAUAGAAAGACCUAAAACCCAGGUGUUGCCUCACAUCAAAUGGUAGAUUACAGAUCGAUUCAAGACAGAUCAUCUUUUUAGAACAACCCCAAGUCACUCAAAGCUGAUUUGCAGCCAAGAAUGCAUUGAAAGUGAUCAUGAAAGAUACAUCUCUUUGGUAUAAACUUAAUUUUUUUUUCAUUUAAUAUUCUUCAUCUACAGCAUCUGUAACCACAAACAUUGUGUUGGCACCAAUCACCUAUAUAUGAGAUAAGAUUCUAUGUAAAUCUUCUAAAGAAGUUCGAAACCACACAUACCAACUCGGCACAGUAUCUGUGUCAAUAGUAGAAGAUAUCCACGAGCAGAAUGAAUGAAUGAACAGAAGGAAGGAGCUUUGAGCAAACCUGUUGAGGAAGAGAAGGCGAAUGAAUGAAGCCAAGCUUUCCUGUUGGUUGAUGCGGAGUCGCGUCUUACCUUCUUAGCUGUCGAUUACUAGCAUGGAGAGAGGGAGACAAGGAAAGACGUAGGAUUCGCACUAAUCAGACUAUCAAUGGCUCUAAUAACUUUAUUAGAUCAUUCUAGAUUUGAUUACUCUAGAUUUGGAUGAUCUAAACUCACAGGUUACCUAUCCACCUAAGAUACCAUGCAUGCUUAUUUAUAGACUUCAAAAAAUAACUAAAACCAAGAAGAGAUCAUUGUCUUAUCAAUCUAAAUCCCUCUGAUACAGCAAUGUUUUUUUUUUUUGUCUUCCUUUUACAUUUUCUGUAAAAGCCAUCCCCUAACAUCCGUUUUCGUAUUACCUCUUCCUAAGAAUUAAAAGUCAUAUUUAGUCCUCCGGCAUUAAACUUUGUUUUGUAAGUAGGCUUCAUCCCAUUUGGAUGCAGCAUUCGAAGCAGCUCCAUUGUGGCCAUGGAUCAAAGGAGUUGUGAAGGGCCCAGGAUCCAUCAAAAACACAACAACUGCUACCGAGGGAUUUGGAUGAGGGAGCCAUUCAUCUGCUUCGUGAUCGACACACAACAAUUGCAAGUGCAGCCAUUAAGCUUUCCUAGAUUUCCUCCUUAAAACCAUAAGGCUACACUGAUAUGUCGUAUACGGUGGUCAGGUCUCUCGGAACAUAAAAUACAAGAAACUUAUACCUUUCUUUUAACUUCCAGAACAUAAAAUAAACGACUCGUCAAGAUGAGAAGACAGCAACUCUCCCUUCGCUUGCAACCACAACUAAAUCCAGCAAACAAAACAUACGAGAUGUAUGGGAAAGAUAUUUAGACUUGUCUGAAAGAUAAGUCAAGUCAACUCUCCCUUCUCCAAGCUGUCAUCUUGGUUUUAAUGCACAGCUGCGUCAUCCGAUUCUCUAUUUCUCUGGAUCAGAUCGAUGCAUUCAACCCCAUCACAGUUUUUCUUUAGUCAUGUGGGCACACAGUGAGCAAUAUAUCAAUACAUAUGGGAAGCAAUUUCACCUGUGUGCAUGCAUAUGGGAAGCAAAAAUAGUACAAAUCAAAUCUUGCAGAUUGUCGAGGACAAACAUGUAUAGAAAACUAGGAAGUAGCAGAAUUGUAAUGGAGAAGACGACACAAUACUCUUUGUGCCAAAGCCUUCAAGACCAGCGGGAUUGUUCAUCGAUGCAUUGCUUCAGUGAGAUGAUUGAUCGAUGAGUGCAAUGGCCACCGGAGUUGGCAGAAUUGACAAACCAACCGACUCAGCAGCCGCCAUAUCUGACCGAUCUUUUUCUCCGUACGUUGGAUUCUAAUUAAAGAAUAGGUGAGUUUCGGAUGGAUCUAUUUGGAUCAUACCUUAAUCGAAUAAAUAUCUCUCGGUCCAAACUUGGCGCGUGGACCGACCGGAUCGAAUCUGAGUUAGAUUGGACCAAAUGUUACGAUAUCACACGUACUAUUGAAGUAGCCGUAGAUCCGAUCAAUAUUUAAUUUAAAUCAGAACAAAACUAGAAUAAUAAAAAACUAGAAUCGAAUCGGAUCGAUAUAAAUUAAUGGAAUCUGAUUAAAUAAAAAAAAAAUCUGAAUAUCCCUACAAAAAAAGACAAUUGAAUCGAGUGAUCAAAUCGAAAAAAUUGAGAACUAAAUCACUAAUCAAUUUGAUUGGCUUAUCAGACGAUUUUGUUAAAAAACAAAAAAAUAAACAAAAUGAAUGAGUUUUGCAUAACCCACACAAAAUAAUAAGAUUAUUUAAUUACCCUUACCUUAAUUCAUUUUAGAGUCUCUCUCCUUUCGUCCUUAUCUCUUCCUCGGACUACCUCUCACAUCGCCUCGUCUCUUGUGUCUUCACUUCGUCUCAUCCUCAGCUAUCACUUCUCUUUUAUAUGUUGCUCUCCAUCUUUUAUUUAUUUAUCUUCUUUUCUUAAUUUAUGGUCCACUCCUCUACGUAUAAAAUCCUUACUUGAUAAUCGAAUUACAUUUUUUAAUUUUUAAAUAUUAUCAUAUAUUAUUUAAUUUAAAUAAAGAUUUAUGUUUAGGAGGAUAGUUAAUAUUAUCAAUCUUAUAUUUUCUAUUUUUCUAAGAUUAUUCUUUUUUUACUAAUUUUGGCAUAUUAUAUUUUUAUUAAUAAUUUUUUUAAAAAUAAACUAACCAUAUAAUAUAUAUAUAUAUAUAUUAAAUUAAAUUAAAUUGAUUUUAUUUUUAUUUUAUUUAAAAAUAUAUUUAAAAUUAUAAAUCGAUUAACUAACUGGUUAAUCAGAAUGGAGUAAUAAGUUUUGAAAUGAAUCGAAUCCAAAAAAACCCAAUUGGAUUCGGUUCGGAUCUGAACACCCGGAAACUGGCUGAUCUGCCGACAUUGUGUUGUCAUCCCCGUCAACGUGGAUCAGGCCAUCAAACUAACGUGCACAUCUUCCGUGCAUCCGACGGCAAGGAAGCUGACAUGAUCACCUGCGUAGGAAUGAAGCUUCCUCGAAUUGGUUUGACCAAAGAAACUUUUCAGUCAACGUGAAGAUAAUUAUUGAUUCGAUCAUCUUAUUUGAAAUUUGAGAGAUGAAAAAAUUCGAUUCUAUUUAUGAUUUUAUUAAUUGGGCUCAUUAAAUUAUUUAUUUAUUCAUUUAAUCUAAAUUAAUUAUUUUUGUAUAUUGUUGUCGGCUCGCCAUUAGAGAAAUAGAGAGAGAGAGAGAGAGACGAGAGGAUAUAUAUUUUUUGGGACGAAACGUUGACGAAGCUACAGUACAGAAGAAAAGAGAGACCGCGGAGGAAGCGUUCUCCAUUUUGCUUCCUCUCUUUCACCGACGAAGCAGGAAGAAGAAGAAGGAUCAGGAGACUUCCCUCCCUCACUCCUUAUACACGAAAACCAGAUCAUAAUCAGAUACCAGAUCAUAUCUGUCACUGCUUUCACCACUCCACCCUCUCUUGAACUCAGCUCUCGCCUUAUCGGUCGAAAUCUGCAUGAUGAAUCCAGCAUCAGAGUUUCCCUCAAGUCCUCAGGUUGUUGUCUUCUCAUCCCUUCUUCUUCUUCUUCUGCAACCAAACCGGAGAAGUUCUCUCUCACGGAUCUGCUCGCUCUUUCACAAACACCACUCCUACUCCAUCCUCUUCUUCACUGAUCUCAUGUUUGAUUGUCUCGCAGCAACACCAAACCACUGUUACUUCCACGACCGAGAUCCAGUCGCGCCCAAUAAUCGAUGACAUGUUUCAGAACUCAUGGGAAGCUGUAAACACUCAGUUCCUUCUCAGCAUAAUAUGAAUCACUGUUUAUUAUUUCUGCUUUUUUUUUUCCUUGAAUUUCCUGACACAUCUUUUUUCUUUUUGGAUCCCCCAAACAAAUUUACAUAUGCAAGAAAUUAAGCUUCUUGGGAAGAUAUGCAACUUCUCAAGAAUUGUUUAAGCCUCAAAAUAAAUUUUUGAUAGGACGAAAACAAAUGUUUUAGUUCUUCUUCUAUUUGCUUGCUAUAAACAACUUCCAACAAUAGGUUUUUCUGUAUCGGAUGGAAACAUGUAUUUGUUCGUUGCGUUGUCUUCUUCAUGUUUAUCGCUACCUUUAGGUCUUCUACUUCUUCUUUUCUCAAGAAUCUGAGGAUUUUGUCUAUCUUUGAUUCAGGCAGAAAGAGGUUAUGAAACAUCUAGCUAUUAUGAAUCCAAGUUGAAGCAAAUCCUACAGUUCGCCUUCAUUGAUAUCAUCAUCAGCUCAAUGGCACUGUUCGCAGUUUUCAUAGGACAGCGAGAUCUGAAAGGCCGUGCAAACGAAUUGCACCUUCUCAUCUGCGGCUUCCUCACCACCUGCAGUCUUCUCUGUGGGGUAACCCUAAUGUUCUUCACCAUCAAUUUGCUAAGUCGCAAGAAUCACAGUGUCCAAAGAGGCCAGCAUAUGACCACCGUUUUCCUCCUCGUCAUUUCAUGCGCUCUCCUCAUCCUUACAGCAGCUGGUUUCUCAACUCUCCUCCAUAAACGCUCCAUGUUUCUGGCAGCCCUGCUUCCGGGAUGUUUGCUUCUCGGCACCCUCGUCUACUUCAUAGUCCACGCAGGGGAUGAUCAUGAUCAGAAUUCCACAGGAUAUGCGAGCUAUAAAUCAGAGCUGAAACACUCGUUGGGUCUCUCAUUCACUGUUGUCUCCCUUGCAUUCAGUGGGCUGAUAACUACUCUUAUUGGGACCGCUAAAAGUCAUUCGGAUCAAGCCCUUACCAUAAACACGAAGAUCUGCAUCUUUCAGAUGUUCUUCGCCGCCAUGUUCGGCCUUCUGUUGAUGCUGCUCAGCUCAGUCCCACCAAGCUUCAAGCAGCAAAGCACCAGGGAGUUCCUUACCAAGCUCCUCAAAGCACUCAGCUACUCUCUGCUGGGCUCAUUGGCACUCAUAGCCGCUACGGCGGCUUCUGCUUUCCUUGACGUCUUCCUUGUACUGGUUCUCCUGCCGACACCAUUUCUUGGAGUCACUCUUUGGUUCUGCAUAGAGUGGCACAGCACCCAAAAACAGCCGCACGGACCGCGCACUACUACCAACGUUGGUCAUGAUCUCAAGCUCAAACUCAUUUCCAAGGUCGCUACUACCACGACAUCCAUCAGCUUCGGAGGUCUUAUGGGCCUCUUCUCAAGAUUUAUCGGCAGAAAAGGCAGUGAAUUGCAGCUCAAGCUCUGCGUGCUGGUGAUGUUCUUCGCAUUUCUGUCCAGUUUCAGCGUGAAGCUGCUCACUUUCAGUACUCCAAAGCCAGGAACUCUGAUGACAGUUAUCAAAUCCUUAAGCACUUGCUCUGUCUUGUUGCUCCUAUUCUCUGCCAUUAUCGUCUUCUUCCUCGAGUUCCUGGGUGGCUGAGCACCACGAAAAUUACUACUUACUUGCUGCUCGGGAAAAUGCUCAUGUCAUGUUGAAGCCAGUGGGAUUCGGUCAUAUCCUGAAAGAUCACAUGGAAUGUGACCAUUGCAUUGGAUUACAGUGUAAGUCUUUUUAUUUGAGAAAAAAGCUAGAGAAUUUGAUUACAGCAUCAGUUGUUGUCAUCAAAAAAACAUCCGAGACAUGGCCCAUAUGGUUUUAGGGCUUGUCCAUAAAUAACAUAAGAUUGAUGUAUUGAUUGCUCACUGUGUGCCCACAAGACUUCCAGAGACUUGUAGGGUUCAUAGAGAUGUGGUCCAUAUGUUUGAACUUUGGCUUGGCCAGCUCUAUAAAAAUUCGAUUUUGAUUAAAAAAAAUAUAAUCACAUAUUAAAAUGAUAAAUUAAAUUUAUUUUUGCGACAUCAUUUAGACUUAUCUUUCUUUUAUCAUGUGAUCAGAGCAAAAUCAUCAAUUUAAAAAAAUAGUUUCAAAUUAAGGAGCUUACAAAUAAAAAUAAAAAUUGAUACAUUCUAAUUCAACUUCGUUCUAUUUAUUUAAAAUGAUCUCUUCUAUUAUCUCUCUUUUUCCAUAUUCAUCUUUUAGUUCUUUUAUUUCUUAUAUUAUUAUUAUAUUAUCGAUCAAUGUCUGUUAGCCUCCUUCACAUCCUAAGCAUUAUCUUUUAUUCGGAGAUGGAUUUCGAAUAGUGUGUGCUCAUGUUCUUCCUCUACUAACCUUUCAUAAUGUCUAUUUAGUGUAUCACAUUAAUAUCUUUAGGCUUUUCAGACCCUUCUCUUGCAACCUCUGUCCACUCGUUUCACUGGUCGCUUACAGUACAUGCCCUAGAAAAAAAAAGGCUCAUACUCCAAAACUACAUGGAUUUUCCAUCUUUCUACAAUAUUUACAAACAGAUUGGUUCCAUAGAAUGUGUUCCUGAUGAAUAUAUGUAUCGAUAAAGCAUGAGAUUGCAAGAAUCUGAUGGAAAAAAUGUUAGGUUUCUGAUUGAAAGGUGCCUAUUACGAUGGUAUGUUUCAGAAAACUGGUUACUUCCUAGCAAAACCUAUGUAUGACAGUGCUAUCGUGAUGGAAAGGCAGAAGCGAAAGCACAAGAUGCUAACCUCGAAGUCCGGAAGAAGUCUCUCGGAGCAGUUCAUGUGGAAGAUGGACGACAGUUCCCUCAAUAUAUCUGCAGAAAAGCAAGAUGAUCAGCUGCUGUCCCUGUGACUAUCCUGCGAGCUGUACUAGUGCAAUUAUUUGCAUAGAAGAUCUGAUUAGGGGAAAUGAAACUCGAGCGAGGGAGUCUGACCUGAAAGAUGAUGAUGAUGAUACAGUGAUGGUGCGAGCAGUUCUUUCCAGAUCUAAGAUUAGUUUUUAGUACUGCUUGCAACCACGGCUAAAUCCAACGAGCAAUACAAAUGAUUUUGAAGGACAGAAGAUGCUCGUUUCAACUUGAUGUAAUGUAUUCUUUCCCUUCUCCAAGCUGUUUAGGUGCAUCUGCAUUCGGGCUGGAUUAAGAAUUUUCUAUUACCCAUAGUUCAUAAUUAAAGACUGUCCACUAUAUUAUACAUCAGUUAGUUUAGCUCUUUCUGCCAGUAGUUCACAGGAACUAAAAUUACUUUCUCUCACUAGUAGGAACUCGGAAAAAUGAUCCCUACUCCUGUCACUUUGCUCCAUCACAGCUAAGGAGGAAGGAGUGACAACAUACCAGAAAAGAGAUGAUCCAAAAUUCAUAAAAGCAUUUCAAAUUCACAAGAGCAGUGAAAGCAGAGGCCACCUCCGCUUGUGCCUCGAGGAUCACUUGUUUCAUAUUGGUGCAGCCGCUUAGCUUCGGAAUCUUGGACGAUGUAAGUCGAAGGACCGACGAGACGACAGUGAGAAAUCGUCAGCUGUCGAAGGCGACGAAGCAGAUCUUCCGGAAUGACUUCUUUCCAUUUGAUAUCGACGAGUGUUUCAGAUUGGACAGUUGGAUCGUUUUCUAACAUCUCAAGACUCCAUUUGCGGCGCCGAUGACUCUGCUCCUCCUGGAUUUCAUCGUCGUCGGUGUGCCCCAACUCCGACGGCAGUUAAAUUAAAAAUUAUCUAAUGAAGAACAUAAAACUCUUAAACAUCUUUAAAAAAGAUAUAUCUUUUUAUAUUCAUUGAUUUUUUUUCUUAACAUUAAUUAAUUAAUAUGAAUAAUAUAUUACUUUAUUUAAAUUAUUAACUUCCUUAUUUAUGUAGUAUGAUUAAGGAAAUGAUUAAAAUUGAUUUCCUUAAUUAUAUGGAUAUGUUAGAAAAUUUUCUAAUUAAUUAAAUUAUUAAUUGAUUUAUUUCUAAUGAGUGAUGUAACUUUUAGGAAGUAAAAAGUUUAUAUUUUAUUUUUGUGUUUUAACCAUAAGAAAUAAAUAUUAUAUUUUUAUCUUUGUGUGUGAAAGUAAAAUAAAAUUAAAUCAUUACUAACGGAGAGCUCAUCUUGUAGGCUCCUCCUCUUUUAUUUCUCUUGUUUUGAAAUAUUUAAUAUUAUGAUUAUUAUAAUUUUAUGAUAUAUAAUAAUAUUUUUAUUUUUUAAUUUUUAUGAUUAAUAAAUAAUGAUAAUUGAUUUAUGAUGUUUGAAUGAUUAUUUUACUUAUAAUGGUCUCUUAAGCUUAAGUGAAUUUUAAAAUUGAUUUAAUUGUUAAAAAUUUUAUUUUUGAAUUAACAUAAUAAUUUUAAUUUUUAAUUAGAUCUAUAUGUGUUUUAAGAAUUAUGUGUGAAUUUCUAUAAUUUAAUUAGUUUUAAAUUUAAGAUCAUGAAUUUAAAUUUUUUAAUUCAUAGGUUUAAAUUACUCUAUAAUAAUUUAAAAUAUUAAAAUAUAAUUUAAUAAAAUGAGUCUGAGUAGGUCUGACGUAAGUCAUGUUGAUUUGUUAAAUUGGGUCGACCCGACCCUUGUGGUCAUGUAUGACCCAACUUAUCUGACUAUACAUGAAUUAGCUUACGUAGUCAUGUACACCAAAUUCAUGUGGUUAGGCAUGAUCUAGCCCAUGUAGCCAUGUAUGAUCUAGCCCAUAUGACUCAAAUUUAUAUGGCCAAGCAUGAUAACCUAGCUCAUUUAGUUAUGUAUAACAUAGCAUAUGUGACGAAGCAUGACCCAACCCAUAUAGCCAUGUCUGACUCAACUAAUAUGGUCAGGCAUGACCUAGCCCAUGUAGCCACGACUCAACCUAUAUAGUCAAAUACGACUCAACUCAUGUGAUUAUGUAGGACCCAACUCAUAUGAUAAAAUAUGACAACUCAUGUGGCCAAGCAUAACCCAACUCAUAUGAUCAUGUAUAACCCAACCCAUAUGGUAAUAUAUGACUCAACCCAUAUGACCAAGCAUAAUCCAACUUAUGUGGCCAAGUACGACUCAAUUGAUGUGAUCGGAUAUAACCCAAACUCAUGUGUCGAUGUAUGACCUAACCCGUGAACUAAGCGUAACCUAAUUUAGUGGUAAGGCUCAGCUCAGUCCACGAAGUUCAGCCUACCCAACUAUGCGAUUGGUGUUAGGCACAUUAUCGUUCCUCUAUACAUCCCAUUGUACCUCAACCUAACAUAUUAUUUGGGAUAGGCAUGUGCAGCGCACAUGACUCAUUUAAGACUCAUAUGAGUUGAUUUGGUUUGACUUAGCACUAUACAACAUAGUCUAAUUUCCUAUCUUAUUAUUGGUUUAAGCUCGUUAAUUGACUGAAUCAUAAUAUUUUAUUGAUUCAAACAGAUUUUGGGUGAUUUUAGACCAACUUGACUAGUUCAAAACUACUUGCCCUAAUCGAAAUCAAUCAAAUCUAAAUUGACCAGUCUAUGGUAAUUCAAUAUCAGUCCUAUAAGGAUUUGAUAUUGGUUUCGUUAGCUCCUAAUUGAAUAGAAUUUUGUUCAAGUUAAUUGAGCUAUUCCAAUUAGGUUUUGGUUGAUUGAGAAUUAAGUCAUUGAUUUCUUAUGUUUUUAUGAUUUGAUGAAUUUAAAAAUUUUAUUUGAAAGUAUUAUUUGAAAAUGAUUAUUAGUUUUUAACUUUUUAAGUUUAUGAUAUUAAUAUGAUUGUUACAUGUAGUAUAUGUAACUAUGUUAGUGGUCUACAUUACAAGGGUAACCUAUGAAAGGAGUUGCAUGCCUAUUAUAGUAUGGAGCAACUAAUGGAUAUAGUUUAACAGAUUAUACAUAAAAUAUGGUUCCUCAUAGUAUUUUAUUAUACUAUUUCUUGGAUACAUGUGUAAAUGAAUGGAUUAAUGAUCAUGGCUAUUUAUGUAUCUCUUUUGAGGAUAGGUAAAUAUCUCUUUUGAGGAUAGGUAAAGUGACUCCAUUCGGAGAUUAGCAAGCUAUCAAAUAUGAUAGUUAGAUUAUUCAUAUUUGUGUAUACGAGAGAUAUCACUCUAUCCAUUAUUGGGAAUAUGAUAUGGGUUCUCUCUAUCUACCGUUGAAGUGAAUUCAUCCCAUUGAGUAUGUCUUUCCAUUCGUUAUUGGGAGAGUACACCAUCGAGUGUAAUGUACGUCUUUGUUAUGUAUGUGUUGUAUAUAACUAAUGUAUAUUUUUAUUUAUUACAUAAGAAUUAUCAUUAUUUUUUUGAUGUAUGAUUUUUAAUGAAUCAAUAAAUUAUUAUUUCAUAUUAAAUUAUUGAUAUUUACAUAUGUUUCAUAAAUAUUGAAGAUUAUUUUUAUAAUUUUUUAAAUAUUCCUAGCAUGUGUGAUUAUUGAUAUAUUUUUAUCUUAUAUUUAUUUUCAGAAUAAUCUACUACUUGGUAAUAAAUCUAAGGUUUAGAUUUUAGAGACAUUUUCUUCGCUUUUAGUUUUACCACGAAGAUAGGGACUUGAAUUCAAGGAUGAAAAAAAUAAAGUGUCUUCUGUAAAUUAUGAAUGAUAAAAUAAUAAUUUAAUUUUUUUUAUAAAUAUGAUAUGUGAUAAUUUAAUGAUAUCAUAACAAUGAUUUUGACGAUCUAUUAGAAUAUAAGAUUUUAGGGUUAAAAUAUUAGAUAGGCCAAUUAGUUUUUGAGAUUUAGAUUUUAAAAAUUAUAUAAUAAUACAACUAAAGCAUUUUAAAAAUAUUAAGAUCAUUUUAUUGAGUCAAAUAUUAUUUAUUUAUUUUUUGUAAGAAAAUGAUUAGUUAAAAAUGUUACAUAAAAGAGAAUCUUGAUGGGUGCAAUAGCCAUAUGGGAGUUGGUAGACUUGACUACGCGCACCGACACCUUGUCAAUCAUCUUUUUUUUUUUCCGUAUAUUAUUUUCUAAUUAAAGAAUAGGUCAGUUUCGGAUGGAUCUAUUUGGAUCAUAGCUUAAGUGAAUGAACAUCUUUCGUGUGUGUAUAUAUAUAUAAAGGUAUUUAAAAUAAAUAAAUCGAUUAAUUGAUUAAUCAAACCGAAUUAAUAAGUUUCGAAACGAUUUGAUUAGAUAAAAUUAGAAUUAAUUUUGAUUCAAACUAUCUUAUCUAAAUUGAAUCGAAAAAAACAAUUCGGUUCGGUCCGAUUUGAAUGCAUCUGAUCACCCGGAAACCAGCUGAUAAGAGGAUAAGACCCCGACAUUGUGUUGUCAUCCCCGUCAACGUGGAUAAGCACAUCGAACUAAUGUGCAUCCGCUAGCAAGGAGACUGACGGAACUAAUGUACUAAUUGGGCUCAUUAAAUUAUUUAUUUAUUUAAUCUAAAUUAAUUAUUUUUAUAUAUUGUUUUUCGGCUUAUUAAAGACAUGAGAGAGAGAGAGAGAGAGAGAGAUGAGAGGGUGGCUGAAGUCAAUAGUUUUGUUGCCAAAGCGUUCACGUGGCUACAAAUCAGAAGAACAGAGAACGCGGAGGACGAGAGAGAGAGAGAGAGAGAGAGAGAGAUGAGAGGGUGGUCAAUAGUUUUGUUGCCAAAGCGUUCACGUGGCUACAAAUCAGAAGAACAGAGAACGCGGAGGACGCGUCUCCAUUUUGCUUUCUCUCUUUCCCCGACGAAGAAGGUAGAAGGACCUAGAGACUUCCCUCCCUCACUCCUUAUACUCGAAAACUAUAAAAUCAUCUGAUACCACAUCAUACUUGUCACUGCUUUCUCCACUCCACCCUCUCUCCUUAUCGGUCGAAAUCUGCAAGAUGAAUCCACCAUCAGAGUCUCGCUCAAGUCAUCAGGUUCUUCUCAUCCCUUCUUCCUCUUCUUCUUCUUCUUCUGCAACCAAACCGGAGAAGUUCUCUCUCUCUGAAUCCACCAUCAGAGUCUCGCUCAAGGCCUCAGGUUCUUCUCAUCCCUUCUUCUUCUUCUUCUGCAACCAAACCGGAGAAGUUCUCUCUCUCUCUCUCUCUCUCUCUCACAGAUCUGCUCGCUCUUUCACAAACACCACUCCUCCUCGAUCCUCUUCUUCACUAAUUUGAUGUUUGAUUGUCUCGCAGCAACACGAAACCACUGUUCCUUCCACGACCGAGAUCCAGUUGCGGUCAACGGUCGAUGGCAUAUUUCAGAACUCAUGGGAAGCUGUAAGCACUCAGUUAGUUCCUUCUCAGAAUAAUAUGAAUCAUUGUUUAUUGUGCUACAACAAGAAUUUCUGCUUUUUUUUCCUUGAAUUUCCUGACACAUCUUUUUCUUUUUGGAUCCCCCAAACAAAUUUACAUAUGCAAGAAAUUAAGCUUCUUGGGAAGAUAUGCAACUUCUCAAGACUUGUUUAAGCCUCAAAAUAAAUUUUGAUAAGACAAAGACACGUGCAUUAGUUCUUCUUCUAUUUGCUUGCUAUAAACAACUUCCAACAAUAGGUUUUUCUGUAUCGGAUGGAAACAUGUAUUUAUUCAUUGCGUUGUCUUCUUCAUGUUUAUCCCUCCCUUUAGGUCUUCUAUUUCUUCUUUUCUCAAGAAUCUGAGGAUUUUGAUUUUGUCUAUCUUUGAUUCAGGCAGAAAGAGGUGAAGUUGCAAGAGGUCAUGAAACAUGUAGCUAUGAAUCCAAGUUGAAGCAAAUCCUACAGUUCGCCUUCAUUGAUAUAAUCAUCAGCUUAAUGGCAGUGUUUGCAGUUUUCAUAGCACAGCGAGAUCUGAAAGGCCAUGCAAACGAAUUGCACCUUCUUAUCUGCGGCUUCCUCACCACCUGCAGUCUUCUCUGUGGAGUAACCCUAAUGUUCUUCACCAUCAAUUUGCUAAGUCGCAAGGAUCACAGUGUCCACAGAGGCCAGCAUGUGACCACCGUUUUCCUCCUCGUCCUUUCAUGCGCUCUCCUCAUCCUUACAGCUGCUGG